GAUACCAGAAAAUGGUUUCAGUUCCACGGCUAUUGCGACAGAAGAGACCGCGGGCCCUGCAGUUUCAUCUGAAGCUUUCACCUCAGGCAUCUCCCUGUCAUGGACCAAAGAAACGGGCAGACAAAGAUGAUCCAGGAACAG
This is a non-coding RNA of Pimephales promelas (fathead minnow), 141 nucleotides long. The record is from RefSeq and is a predicted model, not a curated record. Lineage: Eukaryota; Metazoa; Chordata; Actinopteri; Cypriniformes; Leuciscidae.